CAGUAGCCGCGGUAAUACGAAGGGUGCAAGCGUUAAUCGGAAUUACUGGGCGUAAAGCGUGCGUAGGCGGUUAUAUAAGACAGAUGUGAAAUCCCCGGGCUCAACCUGGGAACUGCAUUUGUGACUGUAUAGCUAGAGUACGGCAGAGGGGGAUGGAAUUCCGCGUGUAGCAGUGAAAUGCGUAGAUAUGCGGAGGAACACCGAUGGCGAAGGCAAUCCCCUGGGCCUGUACUGACGCUCAUGCACGAAAGCGUGGGGAGCAAACAGGAUUAGAUACCCGUGUAGUCCCUGUCUCUUAUAC
Molecule: ribosomal RNA, 301 nt
Filed under: uncultured bacterium
Lineage: Bacteria
Description: partial 16S ribosomal RNA
Rfam family: Bacterial small subunit ribosomal RNA
Source: RNAcentral